AGAGUUUGAUCAUGGCUCAGGACGAACGCUGGCGGCGUGCCUAACACAUGCAAGUCGAGCGAAGCUUUUAAAGCGGAUCCCUUCGGGGUGAAACUUUAAUUGUCUUAGCGGCGGACGGGUGAGUAACGCGUGAGAAACCUGCCUUUCACAAAGGGAUAGCCUCGGGAAACUGGGAUUAAUACCUUAUGACACUUCUACUUCACAUGAAGAAGAGGUUAAAGCGUAAAGCGGUGAAAGAUGGUCUCGCGUCCCAUUAGCUAGUUGGUGAGGUAAUAGCUCACCAAGGCGACGAUGGGUAGCCGGCCUGAGAGGGUGAACGGCCACACUGGAACUGAGACACGGUCCAGACUCCUACGGGAGGCAGCAGUGGGGAAUAUUGCACAAUGGAGGAAACUCUGAUGCAGCGACGCCGCGUGAACGAUGAAGGCUUUCGGGUCGUAAAGUUCUGUCCUAGGGGACGAUAAUGACGGUACCCUAGGAGGAAGCCCCGGCUAACUACGUGCCAGCAGCCGCGGUAAUACGUAGGGGGCAAGCGUUGUCCGGAUUUAUUGGGCGUAAAGGGUUCGCAGGUGGUCCUUUAAGUCAGAUGUGAAAGAUCACAGCUCAACUGUGGUAAGCAUUUGAAACUGAAGGACUUGAGUUAAGGAGAGGAAAGUGGAAUUCCUAGUGUAGCGGUGAAAUGCGUAGAUAUUAGGAGGAAUACCAGUGGCGAAGGCGACUUUCUGGACUUAUACUGACACUGAGGAACGAAAGCGUGGGGAGCAAACAGGAUUAGAUACCCUGGUAGUCCACGCCGUAAACGAUGAGUGCUAGGUGUUGGGGGUCAAACCUCGGUGCCGCAGCUAACGCAUUAAGCACUCCGCCUGGGGAGUACGUACGCAAGUAUGAAACUCAAAGGAAUUGACGGGGACCCGCACAAGCAGCGGAGCAUGUGGUUUAAUUCGAAGCAACGCGAAGAACCUUACCAGGGCUUGACAUGCCAUUGACCGGUCUAGAGAUAGAUCUUUACCUUCGGGUACAAUGGACACAGGUGGUGCAUGGUUGUCGUCAGCUCGUGUCGUGAGAUGUUGGGUUAAGUCCCGCAACGAGCGCAACCCUUGCCUUUAGUUGCUAACAAGUAAUGUUGAGCACUCUAGAGGGACUGCCGAUGAUAAAUCGGAGGAAGGUGGGGAUGACGUCAAAUCAUCAUGCCCUUUAUGUCCUGGGCUACACACGUGCUACAAUGGUCGGUACAACGAGCAGCUACACAGCGAUGUGAUGCAAAU
This 1265-nucleotide ribosomal RNA is filed under the name uncultured bacterium. Its description in RNAcentral is "bacterial SSU rRNA". It matches the Rfam family "Bacterial small subunit ribosomal RNA", at positions 8 to 1272 of the family's 1533-position model. The record is from RNAcentral.